Molecule: ribosomal RNA, 470 nt
Filed under: uncultured bacterium
Lineage: Bacteria
Description: partial 16S ribosomal RNA
Rfam family: Bacterial small subunit ribosomal RNA
Source: RNAcentral
GACGAACGCUGGCGGCGUGCUUAACACAUGCAAGUCGAGCGGAAAGGCCCUUCGGGGUACUCGAGCGGCGAACGGGUGAGUAACACGUGAGUAAUCUGCCCUUGGCUUUGGGAUAACUACCGGAAACGGUGGCUAAUACCGGAUACGACAACCGUCUGCAUGGGCUGGUUGUGGAAAGUUUUUUCGGCCAGGGAUGUGCUCGCGGCCUAUCAGCUUGUUGGUGGGGUAAUGGCCUACCAAGGCUUCGACGGGUAGCCGGCCUGAGAGGGUGACCGGCCACACGGGGCAUGGGAACCGGCCCAGACUCCUACGGGAGGCAGGAGUGGGGAAUAUUGGACAAUGGGCGGAAGCCUGAUCCAGCAACGCCGCGUGAGGGAUGACGGCCUUCGGGUUGUAAACCUCUUUCAGUACCGACGAAGCGCCGAUGAUGGUGGUGACGGUAGGUACAGAAGAAGCACCGGCCAACUACG